AUUGAACGCUGGCGGCAGGCCUAACACAUGCAAGUCGAACGGAGCGGCGGGCGGGUGAGUAAUGCCUAGUAAUCUGCCUGGUAGUGGGGGAUAACGGCCGGCAAGGGCUGCUACUACCGCCUAUUAUCAUAGGAUCCGUGGUCGGAUUAGCUUGUUGGUGGGGUAAAGGCCUACCAAGGCGACGAUCCGUAACUGGUCUGAGAGGAUGAUCAGUCACACUGGAACUGAGACACGGUCCAGACUCCUACGGGAGGCAGCAGUGGGGAAUAUUGGACAAUGGGCGAAAGCCUGAUCCAGCCAUGCCGCGUGUGUGAAGAAGGUCUUCGGAUUGUAAAGCACUUUAAGUUGGGAGGCGUUACCAACAGAAUAAGCACCGGCUAACUUCGUGCCAGCAGCCGCGGUAAUUC
RNAcentral lists this ribosomal RNA (407 nucleotides) under uncultured bacterium. RNAcentral's name for it is "partial 16S ribosomal RNA". It matches the Rfam family "Bacterial small subunit ribosomal RNA", at positions 30 to 526 of the family's 1533-position model. The record is from RNAcentral.